This is an RNA transcript of Biomphalaria glabrata, 7056 nucleotides long. RefSeq lists it as uncharacterized. The record is from RefSeq and is a predicted model, not a curated record. Lineage: Eukaryota; Metazoa; Mollusca; Gastropoda; Planorbidae. The transcript has 10 exons.
AUUUUUAAACGAAGAAAAAAAAAUAACAUGGCGUAAGACUGCAUCGAUUUUUUUGUGAUCAUCAUUGCCUUGCUAGAUUCUAGAUCACAGGCACAUGAUAGAUUAGAUCGGUAGAUCUAUUCUUUCCCUAGUAGAUUCUAGAUCUAUAAAACAUCUGUGGAAUAUAAUCAAUUAAUAGUUCUAGGACUAGAUUAUCAUCACGGAAUCAGCAUGCUUGUGUUUAAGUUAUUAAAUUUUCUACUCAAACUCAAAGGUUGCAUUUAGGCACAGGAUGGGUUGAUGUGAUUUUCUGCUAAAGAGACAGACAGAUCCACCACUUCCAUAACCAUGACGACAACAGUAAAUGAGGACCUCUUGCAGGUCAAUCAAGUGGUUAAAGACAGAUUCAAAGUCAUUAAAAAAAUUGGUGGCGGUGGAUUUGGUGAAAUUUAUGAGGCCAUGGAUCUGGUGAGUCGUGAGAGUGUGGCUUUGAAACUUGAAUCUGCUCAGCAAGUCAAACAAGUACUUAAAAUGGAAGUUGCAGUUUUAAAAAAGUUGCAAGGGCGGGAUCAUGUGUGUCGUUUUAUUGGUUGUGGUCGUAAUGAGAGAUACAAUUAUGUGGUCAUGUCAUUGCAAGGGAAAAACUUGGCAGAACUUCGAAGAAGUCAAGUCCGAGGUUGUUUUUCUCUGAGCACUACUUUAAGACUUGCUUCUCAAAUACUCCAUGCAAUAGAAGCUAUACAUGAUGUGGGAUUCUUACAUCGAGAUAUCAAGCCGUCAAAUUUUGCUAUGGGUCGACAUCCAAACCAUCGUAAAGUAUAUAUGUUAGAUUUUGGUCUUGCUCGUCAAUAUACUACAGCAUCAGGAGAAGUUAGACAGCCACGUUCAGCUGCUGGGUUCAGAGGCACAGUUCGAUAUGCAUCAAUCAAUGCACAUAAAAAUAAAGAAAUGGGCAGACAUGAUGAUCUCUGGUCUCUCUUUUAUAUGGUUGUAGAAUUUGUUUCUGGACAGUUGCCUUGGCGAAAGAUCAAAGAUAAAGAACAGGUUGGCAUUAUGAAAGACAAGUAUGAUCAUAGCAACUUGUUGAAAAAUUUACCGAGUGAAUUUAGAGCAUUCCUAGACCACAUCCAGAGUCUAGACUAUUUUGACCAACCUGACUACAACAUGUUAUCCAAUCUCCUGGACCAAUGCAUACGUCGCAAGAAUGUGCGUGACUCUGAUCCCUAUGACUGGGAAAAGAGCAAUGUGGACACAUCCAUUACAAUUACUAAUACCUCAGCAUUACAUGCUUUGAAACAAACCAAUGUGUUGAAUAUGGGUCCAAUCACUCCAGGACAUGGUGCUACAGAAGUUUUGGAUGAAAAUCUCAGCUAUCAAGAAGGUGAAGAAGCACUUAAAAAACCUGAAUUGAUUCCAUUAAAUGAAGUGGAUAAUAGAUAUGUAGAAGAAGGUGUUGUUGUACUCUCUCGACCCGAUGCUGAAUCUACUCCUGCUAAAUAUGAACAAGAUGCAAAAGCCAAAGAAAAAUUAAAAGACUCAGAAAAAGGAAAAGGCCAAGAAAAAAGUGAACAUUUGUAUAAAAAAGGAAUUCCUAUGGAUGCUGUUUCUUCUAAAGAAAGUGGCAACAGAAGUGGCACUACCAACUCUCAUUUGAUGAAGCAGCAAAUUUUGGCAGGUGCCAGAGCACCAAGUUCAGGGGCCAGUAUGGAUGCUGGAGUCAGCCACCCGAUCAGCUCAAUUAAACUGGGAGAGAAAGAUGCUGGCUCUCCUGGUGAUCGCUUGCCUCCUCCUGGUCCAUCUGUUGGCUAUGGUCUACCAGCUUCCAGUAAUCUAUCAGGUAAUCUGGCAGGGAGUAGAAGCAAAGUGGUGCGCCUCCAUGAAGGUCCAGAAAGUAGUGCUGUCGACUAUGUGGGAAGUGAGAAAGCUGGCAGUGUGGGUACAGGCUACAUGGGUGCUCUGGAGGCUGGGGAACCAAGUAAUGAGAAUGAAAACAUGAGAUUAGAGAGUCAUCCAGAUCUAGCCAGUCGGGCUGCUAUAACCUUUGCCCUAAUGCAGACAGAUGACAAGACACACACACAGUGUGAUGAGGCAGGGGAAGAGAAUGCAACUCGUGCGGCCCCAUUUACCAUGGCCAGUCAGUGGGGGGCAUUUGGUUCAAGUGAUGAAGGGAGUGACAAUGAAGAUAGUGAAGAGGAUGGUGGUGGGGGGGGAGACAAGGGCAAAAAGUCCUCUAGGGCAAGAAGGUUAGCAAUGAUGAACACACUUGCAGAUGAAGAUGAUCAGCAGUUAGAUAGCAUGGCUAGGAAUUCAUUGGUCUUGAUGGAUGAUCGAGAUGGACAUGAAACAAUGAGAACGUCUCUAGUCUUUGAAGAUGAUACUACUGAUAUUAUGAAACUCAUGCAAUCUAGUGGCAGUCGUGGUGAAGAUGGUCUGGAAGAUGAAGCUCAAGGUCGUCACUCAGAACCAAUCAACACACAUUCCCUACCAUUUGUGCAGUCCCAGGAAAAGUCAUUUAGUUCUAGUCCAAGAAAAAUGCCAGAAAAACUUGCCAAAGAUAUUGACAACCGAAUAGGUUCUCCAUUAAAACAAACUACUACUGGCAGUCCUUCCAAAUUUGUAUUCAAGAAUCGAGAUCAGUUAGAUGAGAAAAGAAAUAGAAAACUUGUGGCCUUAGGCAAGCCACCUAUUCACUCUUCCAGCAAAAGAGACAAAAGCAUGGAUUUAGCAAUCUCAGGGCUCUCAGAAAGUACUAAACCUAUUGCCUCUAAUAAUACUCACUUCUCUCGAGAUUUGUCUCUUUCAAAACCAAAAUCAAUACUUAAAGACAAAAAUAACUUGGUUAGUGAACGAAAUUCUAAUGUGGACAAUCGCUUUAGUUCGGAUUCAGCUAUGUUGCCAACAGAUGGAGCCAGUGAUGUUCGAGUGGUUGUGACAAUGAAAGAUGAACCCAAUGUUUUGACAGCUCGGGAUCACAGUCCUAGGCGUCCACAGUCAUCUCGUCAUUCAUUCAACAAAUCGAGGGAAACUGACAUAGUCAGUAGUCAUCAUAUACGAAGGUUUUCUAGACCUGGCAUGUCAUCCUCACCUAGGGGCUACAUGGAUUCAAGAUCUCUAGUCAUGAAUGAAUCUGAUGGUAGCCCAGUUCCCAAACCUCCUCCUGGACAUGCUCCUAAAAAUGCUGUGGUGACUGCUAGGCGCCGUCGUUACAAAUUGGCAUCGAGCAGUGUGAGUCCGCGCGAUGCCAACAGCCCUUAGCAUAGUUCAGCUGAGAUGUUAACCUGUUGUUUAUUAGCCACACGUCUUUCUGUAACCUACCCUUUGUUUCAUGCACCGCUCUGUGUUCUGCACUCAACUCUUGGAAGAAGUUUAACAACAUUUGGACACUUUUUAGGAAGUCAGCCAAAAGUCCCAAGCACUCCAGCUAAAACUGGUUCUUCCUGUGAAACUUUUACAUACCCUACACUCUUGGGAUCAGGACAUGGAUAUAUUGAUUUACUUAGCACCAAUAGUCAACCUCUAGCAGGUUCACUUUGUACACAUGAUGCAUAGGCUUUGAAUUAUCUUCUACUUCACUCUUGCUAUAAACAAUCAAACAACUGUCUGACAGGGAAUUUAGUUUCAUUUUUAUGCUGUAGCUUUACAUAUCAUGUUGAUAAUAUAAGCAGAUAGUGCUAGCAAGUCUCAGGCUUUGGUAAUCAUUUAGAAAGAUAUAAUAGUGGACAUUCUUUUGAUACAUUGACUAGUUGGCAUAAUCUGAAUGGAGUGGAACCACUUUUCAUUCACAUUCAGAAUGUAAUAUUUUUUAAUUUGUUCCAUUACCCUAGCCAUUGCAGUCAGCCAUAACAUAGUGGUUGAAUGGGGUUUGAUUUUAUUUGAAAGUAUUGGGGUUGAAAGAAUUCUCUAAAAGCCAAAUUGACAUUGUAAAACUUUGAUUAGCUUUGAAUUGAUUGUUAUUGGCUUGCCAAAGAGUUCUAUCUCAAUGUGAAUGUUUGUGUCACAGAUUUCUUUGUAAAUGUACCAACAAAUAAUUCACUUCCCAGAGCUGACAUUGAAAAUUAGAACAGAGCACAGCUGUAACAUCUGCUGUUUGUGAUUUCAACAUCACUUUAAACAAAGUCUAACAUCAUUCUAGAAACUAUGGACUUGUAAAACAUUGAAUACUCAGAAACAAAAAUGUGUACAAAUGAACAUAAAGAUAAGUAGUGAAGGGUAGAAAACUUGUAUUUCUGUUGAUGCUCAAAUAUUUUAAAGAAAAACAACAAAAAAAAAAAACAUGGCUAAAGAUGGACUCGACUCUACUGUCAAUUGCCUCUCUAUUUCUCUCUAUUUACACACUUUUCAAGCAGAGUUUUUACAUUUGCAAUAUUUGUACAGAAUAAAAAACAUUUAUACUUGUACAAUUUCUUUGUUGGUUUGCUCAAAAUCAUUUCUUCAGUUCAUUUGUUUGAUUUUAGUUCUUAUUGAAAAUAUUUUCAAAAACCUUUAAGUUUUGAUUAUCAUUUUUGUUUCUUUAAAACAUAGUGCAUUUCCAGUUUUGAAGAGCAAGAACAGAUAGGGUAAUGAAACUAUUUCAAUAUUAGCAAGCCUAAGAAAAAGGUUAUAGAAUAAUCUAAUUUUGAACCUUCUCAUAACAAAAAAAAAUCUUUGUGUAUUUGUUUUUUGGUAUAUUUAGUUAUUAAAGUGAGUCUGUGAUCCAACAAUCAGUAGUCCUGUAUGAAGCUUGCUUCUAUUUAGUUCAAGAACUUCUAUCCUAUUGUUUUCAAAAUGUUUUCUUUCUGCUAGUCUUUGCUGAUGUCACAGGCUUUGGUCAAUGGGUUUUAUUGUGAUAUAACUUGUUUUUUUAUUGGACACUUUUAUACAAAUACUUUCUUGUAUAUUUUCUAUGUUCAACCCUCUUUCAGAUAUGAAUUCUUAUCAAACAAGAACAUUUUAACAACAAUGACAUCUCCAGACAUUUGUACAUGGCAGACAAUAGACAAUAAUACAGGCAAUGCUAGCAGACUAGUGUACAUGGCAGACAAUAGAUUAAUACAAGCAAUGCUAGCAGACUAGUGUACAUGGCAGACAAUAGGCUAAGAAAGUCAUUGCUAGCAGACUAGUGUACAUGACAGACAAUAUGCCAAGACAGUCAUUGCUAGCAGACUAGUGUACAUGACAGACAAUAGGCUAAGAAAGUCAUUGCUAGCAGACUAGUGUACAUGACAGACAAUAGGCUAAGAAAGUCAUUGCUAGCAGACUAGUGUACAUGACAGACAAUAGGCCAAGACAGUCAUUGCUAGCAGACUAGUGUAAAUGACAGACAAUAGGCUAAGAAAGUCAUUGCUAGCAGACUAGUGUACAUGACAGACAAUAGGCCAAGACAGUCAUUGCUAGCAGACUAGUGUACAUUGCAGACAGUAUGCCAAGACAGUCAUUGCUAGCAGACUAGUAUACAGGUACAAAUCUAGUGGCAGUAAUUUGUUUUUCAUAAAACAUUCAAAUGAGUUGCACUGAUUUUCUAGCAUUAAUUACCGUACAGGUACAUUUACCCCACAGUUAACAUUUACCAUAAAGGUACAUUUACUCUACAGUUACAUUUACCAUAAAGGUACAUUUACUCUACAGUUACAUUUACCAUAAAGGUACAUUUACUCUACAGUUAACAUUUACCAUAAAGGUACAUUUACUCUACAGUUACAUUUACCAUAAAGGUACAUUUACUCUACAGUUACAUUUACCAUAAAGGUACAUUUACUCUACAGUUAACAUUUACCAUAAAGGUACAUUUACUCUACACUUACAUUUACCAUAAAGGUACAUUUACUCUACAGUUAACAUUUACCAUAAAGGUACAUUUACUCUACACUUACAUUUACCAUAAAGGUACAUUUACUCUACAGUUACAUUUACCAUAAAGGUACAUUUACUCUACAAUUACAUUUACCAUAAAGGUACAUUUACUCUACAGUUACAUUUACUCUACAGUUACAUUUACCAUAAAGGUACAUUUACUCUACAGUUAACAUUUACCAUAAAGGUACAUUACUCUACAGUUAACAUUUACCAUAAAGGUACAUUUACUCUACAGUUACAUUUACCAUAAUGGUACAUUUACUCUACAGUUAUUACACAAAACUGUCAGCAACAAAAAAAAAAAAAACUGGACUGCUAUGUCUGCUGGUCUUAUAAGUGAUGUAUUUACAUUUGCAAAGUAUUUCCUGACUGCUAUUUUCUAGUCAUUGAAUGCAAUCAUUGGAAUUAAUUAUUUUUUUAAAUGUAUGUGUGCAUGUAUUCUUCUCUCACUGAGCAAUUUAAUUACAAGCAAGUGUAAUCUUUUGAUUUAGUCAAUGAACUAGUGUACAUUUGUCCAGAUGCUACUAUGAAUCAAAUGUAACAAAAAAAUUUUUUUUUUCCAUUUGUUAGUUUCAAUUCUGAUUUGGUCAGGUGGACAAUAUUUACAUUCAGAUUGUAUCCAACUGUAUUGUAGCUCUCUCCUCUAAACUCCAAUAAUGUGUACAAAAACAGAUACUUAGUAUCUGAAUGGAACACUUUAUAGAGUCUUAUCAUUCCAACACAACUAGUUGAAGUGGUGUGUACCCAAUGAACUAGAGGACAAAAAAGUAUGUGAUAUUCGUUUUGUACCAAACUGCUGUGCUAGAACAAAAGUAUGUGAUAUUCUGUCCAGACUUUUGAAGACUUGAUGUUACAAUGUGUAUGUAAAUGACCAUAUUGCUUCCACACAAUAACUUAUAGAAUGUCUGUUCAUUCAAGCAAUGGUAAUAAGAAACAAUGGUCAAUGUCUUGAGAAACUUCUAAAUGUUCCCCUCAGGUCCUAUGUGUAUUUCUUUUGUACUUCUCUUUCAGCUGACUGUGAUGGAUCCAUUGUAAGGCUGGUUGCAAGGCUUUGCUUUAGUGUCUGGACUAGCUCAAUGUGAAGAGAGGUUCAUGAAUGUCUAGCUUCCUGCCCUUGUCUUGCUGAUGUUGUGAUUUCAAUCUGAUGACCUGAAUAUUAGGUCAACAUUAGCCAUACUCAUUUAUUUUGUAUUGACUAGACAGUCUGUAGUGGAUCUCAAUUUGAAAUAAAAUAUUGAAAACAAA